UUCACAAGAGACUUUUUUUGC
RNAcentral lists this non-coding RNA (21 nucleotides) under Arabidopsis thaliana (thale cress). The record is from RNAcentral. Lineage: Eukaryota; Viridiplantae; Streptophyta; Magnoliopsida; Brassicales; Brassicaceae.